UGUGGGCUAUUACACUGAGCAAACAAUAAUACGGAAUCAUGAAAACAGAUACAGUAGGGAAAAGGAGACUGCUUCCUAAUGAAGUGGGAAUAGACUAGGUCUCCAGAGCCACAGAGCCUUCAGAGAAGCGGGUCUGAUUGCCCUGAAUAUUUCCCUGCUCAGCCGGGAAAGUAGAGAGGGUGAAGAGAAAUCCCAGUAAGAGUUCUCUCUAAUGUCCUUGCCCCUCACCCCAGUCCUCCUGUCCGCGCUAACGGGACGAAAAGGCAAUUCCCGGAUAUUUCACUUUUCUCCGCACUUUAACGGAGGGAUUUUCUUGGGAUAUCUGACGCAUGAACUCACCGAGACAGAAACAAUCCCUGGAUAUUUACCCCCACACACGCGUGCGCGCGCAAGAGGAGAAAAGCGCAGGCAUUUCCUCACACACACGCACUGGAGACGGGCCGCAGCUCUUCCUCCUCCUCCUCUCGGGCCGGGGACGGGAGGAGGACAGCGGGCUGCUCACACCUCACGCGUGUCCGCUGCAUGGGUAUCGCGGGCGGCGGCAGCCCCUCGACACCACGGCCCCACAGCGCCUCAGCCUCACGCUUCGUGCGGGGCUGCCUGGCCUCGCACGUCACCCCACGCCCUCACACGUGCCCUCACACACCCAGAUGUGCCCUCACACGUAACCCCACGCCCUCACACACUCACACGUGCCCUCACACACCCAGAUGUGCCCUCACACACCCAGACGUGCCCUCACACGUAACUCCAUGCCCUUACACACCCACAUAUGCCCUCACGCUCACAGACACUCCCUCACACACACGCGCGCUCCCCGUCCCGCCCUUGCACGCUCCCUCACACUCACGGACUCGCUCCCCGGCCCUCCUUGGCACACUCCCCCUUACACACUCACACACUCCCCUCACACACACGCCUCACACACACACCACACACUCCUCCCCCCCCCCCCCCUUACACACUCGCGCCCUCUCGCGCUCCCUCUCCCCAACGGCCGGCAACAAAGCGGCGGGCAGCGCGCGGGGCGGGACGCGCACACGGGCACACGCAGGCUCACACUCACUCACACACACUUACACACACUCACACUCACACAACGCUGCCGCGGCACCUACCAGGCGGGCAGCCUCGGCCCAGGCUGAAACGAGUUGGGAAUGAUUCGGGCUUUGUCCAGUGCCUCCUUCGUCCCUCCCCAGCCGUGUGCCCUCUUGGUUUCCCUAACGUCAAAACUCGCACGGCUCACUGGAGAAAUAAUAAAAAAAUAAUAAUAAUAAUUAAAAAUAUCAGUCCCAACUAGCGCAAUGUUCACAGAAUCACAGAAUUUCCAGGUUGGAGGAGACCUCAAGAUCAUCGAGUCCAACCUCUGACCUACCGCUAACAGUCCCCACUAAACCAUACCCCUAAGCUCUACAUCUAAACGUCUUUUUAAGGCUGUUUUAUUUAGAAAAGGACAGGGAACAGCCCUAGAGGAAGCCAAAGUGGCUCCCUGAUGGCGCUCCCUCCAGAAGCACUCAGGUGGUGUGCAGGGUUCCAGCUGUUGACACAUCCCCCUCAUCCCCCUCAUCCCCCUCAUCCCCCUCAUCCCCCUCAUCCCCCUCAUCCCCCUCAUCCCCCUCAUCCCCCUCAUCUUUAUAUUGGAAAUGGUACAUGGAAGGUAAUUCCUCACUGUGACGCCUCUCCAGAUUUCAUAUUUCAUUUUCACACUGAAAACCAUUAACAAAAC
This 1726-nucleotide long non-coding RNA is filed under the name Anas platyrhynchos (mallard). Its description in RNAcentral is "lncRNA (ENSAPLG00020011797.1)". Lineage: Eukaryota; Metazoa; Chordata; Aves; Anseriformes; Anatidae. The record is from RNAcentral.